RNAcentral lists this ribosomal RNA (326 nucleotides) under uncultured bacterium. RNAcentral describes it as "partial 16S ribosomal RNA". It matches the Rfam family "Bacterial small subunit ribosomal RNA", at positions 355 to 673 of the family's 1533-position model. The record is from RNAcentral.
UAGGGAAUCUUCCACAAUGGACGCAAGUCCGAUGGAGCAACGCCGCGUGAGUGAAGAAGGCUUUCGGGUCGUAAAACUCUGUUAUUGAAGAAGAACGUGUGUGACAGUAACUGGUCAUGCAGUGACGGUAUUCAAUCAGAAAGUCACGGCUAACUACGUGCCAGCAGCCGCGGUAAUACGUAGGUGGCAAGCGUUGUCCGGAUUUAUUAGGCGUAAAGCGAGUGCAGGCGGUCUUUUAAGUCUGAUGUGAAAGCCUUCGGCUUAACCGAAGAAGGGCAUCGGAAACUGGGAGACUUGAGUGCAGAAGAGGAGAGUGGAACUCCAUG